Molecule: ribosomal RNA, 560 nt
Filed under: uncultured Alphaproteobacteria bacterium
Lineage: Bacteria; Pseudomonadati; Pseudomonadota; Alphaproteobacteria
Description: bacterial SSU rRNA
Rfam family: Bacterial small subunit ribosomal RNA
Source: RNAcentral
CCUACGGGAGGCAGCAGUGGGGAAUCUUGGACAAUGGGCGCAAGCCUGAUCCAGCCAUGCCGCGUGAGUGAUGAAGGCCCUAGGGUCGUAAAGCUCUUUCGCCAGGGAUGAUAAUGACAGUACCUGGUAAAGAAACCCCGGCUAACUCCGUGCCAGCAGCCGCGGUAAUACGGAGGGGGUUAGCGUUGUUCGGAAUUACUGGGCGUAAAGCGCGCGUAGGCGGAUUGGAAAGUUGGGGGUGAAAUCCCGGGGCUCAACCCCGGAACUGCCUCCAAAACUCCCAGUCUUGAGUUCGAGAGAGGUGAGUGGAACUCCGAGUGUAGAGGUGAAAUUCGUAGAUAUUCGGAAGAACACCAGUGGCGAAGGCGGCUCACUGGCUCGAUACUGACGCUGAGGUGCGAAAGUGUGGGGAGCAAACAGGAUUAGAUACCCUGGUAGUCCACACCGUAAACGAUGAAUGCCAGUCGUCGGGUAGCAUGCUACUCGGUGACACACCUAACGGAUUAAGCAUUCCGCCUGGGGAGUACGGUCGCAAGAUUAAAACUCAAAGGAAUUGACGG